RNAcentral lists this ribosomal RNA (600 nucleotides) under Salmonella enterica subsp. enterica serovar Infantis. RNAcentral's name for it is "partial 23S ribosomal RNA". It matches the Rfam family "Bacterial large subunit ribosomal RNA", at positions 711 to 1228 of the family's 2925-position model. RNAcentral also lists the same sequence under 3 other names. The record is from RNAcentral. Lineage: Bacteria; Pseudomonadati; Pseudomonadota; Gammaproteobacteria; Enterobacterales; Enterobacteriaceae.
AGACCCGAAACCCGGUGAUCUAGCCAUGGGCAGGUUGAAGGUUGGGUAACACUAACUGGAGGACCGAACCGACUAAUGUUGAAAAAUUAGCGGAUGACCUGUGGCUGGGGGUGAAAGGCCAAUCAAACCGGGAGAUAGCUGGUUCUCCCCGAAAGCUAUUUAGGUAGCGCCUCGUGAAUUCAUCUCCGGGGGUAGAGCACUGUUUCGGCUAGGGGGCCAUCCCGGCUUACCAACCCGAUGCAAACUGCGAAUACCGGAGAAUGUUAUCACGGGAGACACACGGCGGGUGCUAACGUCCGUCGUGAAGAGGGAAACAACCCAGACCGCCAGCUAAGGUCCCAAAGUCAUGGUUAAGUGGGAAACGAUGUGGGAAGGCCCAGACAGCCAGGAUGUUGGCUUAGAAGCAGCCAUCAUUUAAAGAAAGCGUAAUAGCUCACUGGUCGAGUCGGCCUGCGCGGAAGAUGUAACGGGGCUAAACCAUGCACCGAAGCUGCGGCAGCGAACGUAUCACUUAAAGCGAUUCAGCGGGUUACGAUUGACGGAGCGAAGCGACGUCAAAGCGUAUACAAAGUCGAGUCGGUUUAAGGAUACGUUCGUUGG